This 65-nucleotide transfer RNA is filed under the name Campyloscelina sp. AH-2016. Its description in RNAcentral is "tRNA-Cys". The record is from RNAcentral. Lineage: Eukaryota; Metazoa; Arthropoda; Insecta; Coleoptera; Curculionidae.
GAUUAUAUAGUCUAAUAAGGAUAUUAAAUUGCAAAUUUAAAGGUAGAUUUAUAAUUUUAUAAUUU